AAAUUUGAAAUCUGGCCCCGUCGGGGUCCGAGUUGUAAUUUGUAGAGAGUGUUUCGGGUGAGACCACGGUCUAAGUCUAUUGGAACAUGGCGUCAUAGAGGGUGAGAAUCCCGUAUGUGACCGUGGCUCGAGCCCAUGUGAAGCCUCUUCGACGAGUCGAGUUGUUUGGGAAUGCAGCUCAAAAUGGGUGGUAAAUUUCAUCUAAAGCUAAAUACUGGCUGGAGACCGAUAGCGCACAAGUAGAGUGAUCGAAAGAUGAAAAGCACUUUGGAAAGAGAGUCAAAAAGUACGUGAAAUUGUUGAAAGGGAAGCGCUUGCAACCAGACCUGUCCGUAGGUGAUCAGCCGCUGUUCUCAGCGGUGCACUCGCUCUGCGAUCAGGCCAGCAUCGGUUUCGGCGGCUGGAUAAAGGCCUUGGGAAUGUAGCUUCCUUCGGGGAGUCUUAUAGCCCUCGGUGCAAUGCGGCCAGCCGGGACCGAGGACCGCGCUUCGGCUAGGAUGCUGGCGUAAUGGUUGUAAGCGACCCGUCUUGAAACACGGACCAAGGAGUCUACCAUCUAUGCGAGUGUUUGGGUGUUAAACCCAUGCGCGGAAUGAAAGUGAACGGAGGUGAGAACCCUUUAGGGCGCAUCAUCGACCGAUCCAGAUGUCUUCGGAUGGAUUUGAGUAUGAGCAUAGCUGGUGGGACCCGAAAGAUGGUGAACUAUACUUGAAUAGGGUGAAGCCAGAGGAAACUCUGGUGGAGGCUCGCAGCGGUUCUGACGUGCAAAUCGAUCGUCAAAUUUGAGUAUAGGGGUAAGUUUUACUCCUAGAGGUCCCCAGAUCCAAUGCUAACUUUUUGAUACAGGCGAAAGACUAAUCGAACCAUCCCUUUUUAGUAGUUAAGACUACGAUCUAUAUGCUACAGGUGGUUAAUCCGAGCGUUUCGCGUGCGAGCGCUCUUAGUCCUCCGGGGCGACAUCACUACUUGCAUGAACACACCUCAGGGUUGACAUGCCGCAGUUUCUCCCACUCAUCUGGGGCCUCUGUUCACAGACCAAAUGGUGGUGGCCGGGCACUCCUCUCAGGGGCGCUUGGUUUAGAAAUGGCCGAGUCCUACUCCUAAUCGAGUCGGUCUUGGGACGGUGGA
RNAcentral lists this ribosomal RNA (1128 nucleotides) under Usnea esperantiana. RNAcentral describes it as "LSU rRNA". It matches the Rfam family "Eukaryotic large subunit ribosomal RNA", at positions 111 to 1401 of the family's 3401-position model. The record is from RNAcentral. Lineage: Eukaryota; Fungi; Ascomycota; Lecanoromycetes; Lecanorales; Parmeliaceae.